Molecule: ribosomal RNA, 429 nt
Filed under: Bacillota bacterium
Lineage: Bacteria; Bacillati; Bacillota
Description: Firmicutes bacterium partial 16S ribosomal RNA
Rfam family: Bacterial small subunit ribosomal RNA
Source: RNAcentral
UGGGGAAUUUUGGACAAUGGGCGAAAGCCUGAUCCAGCAAUGCCGCGUGUGUGAAGAAGGCCUUCGGGUUGUAAAGCACUUUUGUCCGGAAAGAAAUGGCUCUGGUUAAUACCUGGGGUCGAUGACGGUACCGGAAGAAUAAGGACCGGCUAACUACGUGCCAGCAGCCGCGGUAAUACGUAGGGUCCAAGCGUUAAUCGGAAUUACUGGGCGUAAAGCGUGCGCAGGCGGUUGUGCAAGACCGAUGUGAAAUCCCCGAGCUUAACUUGGGAAUUGCAUUGGUGACUGCACGGCUAGAGUGUGUCAGAGGGAGGUAGAAUUCCACGUGUAGCAGUGAAAUGCGUAGAGAUGUGGAGGAAUACCGAUGGCGAAGGCAGCCCCCUGGGAUAACACUGACGCUCAUGCACGAAAGCGUGGGGAGCAAACAGG